Molecule: non-coding RNA, 637 nt
Organism: Oryctolagus cuniculus (rabbit)
Lineage: Eukaryota; Metazoa; Chordata; Mammalia; Lagomorpha; Leporidae
Source: RefSeq, a predicted model, not a curated record
GUACUAGGAUUCAUGCUAGGAGGAGUAGAGACAUCAGAAGGACAGGUGUGGGUACUAGGAUUCAUGCUAGGGAGGAGUAGAGACAUCAGAAGGACAGGUGUGGGUACUAGGAUUCAUGCUAGGGAGGAGUAGAGACAUCAGAAGGACAGGUGUGGGUACUAGGAUUCAUGCUAGGAGGAGUAGAGACAUCAGAAGGACAGGUGUGGGUACUAGAAUUCAUGCUAGGAGGAGUAGAGACAUCAGAAGGACAGGUGUGGGUACUAGGAUUCAUGCUAGGAGGAGUAGAGACAUCAGAAGGACAGGUGUGGGUGCUAGGAUUCAUGCUAGGAGGAGUAAAGACAUCAGAGGAACAGGUGUGGGUACUAUCACCAUCUUCAGAUGAGGAACUGGAGACUCAGCAAUACCAGAAAAUGUGCCAAGUGGUCUUGAGUGUGUCCAAAGUGGUCAAUAAAAAUCGAAGACUCUGAGCUUAGACUUUUUAAGAAGCCAUGCCCAUCAUAAUCCAGUCUUCAGUCUACAUCCUCUCCAACUUAACUUUGCGGUAUUUCCCAGUGCAGACUCAUGGUUCCAGUAAGAUCACAUCUGCUCACAACCUUUCCCACAUACAAUCCUUAUCCUAGUGCGAUGUCCCUGACUA